AGGUACAAAGUGGCACCAGGAGGGACCAGCCACUGUGCUUUGCACCCAGCCUCACUGCACCUUCUGGUGCAUCUGGAAGGUCCUGAAGGAGGAGUUCCAGGGCCCCGGCUGCCAUGGGCCCUGAAGGAAUAGUUCGGUGCUGGAGCUGGGCAUGGGAAUAGAGCCAAGCAUUUGAGAGGCAGGGACCAGGCAGAUGUCAGAAACAAGAACCAGCAGACGUCCAAAGAAGGCAUCUGUCUGAAGGCCAGGAUGCAAGAUACAGUAAGUAGGCUGCCAGCUGCAAGCCAGGAAGAGGGCCCUCACCAGAAGCCAACUAUGAUGGCACCCUGAUCUUGGACUUCCCAGUCUUCAGAACUGUGAGAAAUAAAUGUCUGUGGUUUAAGCCA
This 386-nucleotide long non-coding RNA is filed under the name Homo sapiens (human). RNAcentral describes it as "HSALNT0294822". Lineage: Eukaryota; Metazoa; Chordata; Mammalia; Primates; Hominidae. The record is from RNAcentral.